UAUAAAUAAAUUUUUAUAGUUUAAAAAUUUUAAUUUAAAUUUAUUUUACAUAUAAAUUAUAGUGUUAAUUUUUAAUUAUUUAAAUAAUUUUUAAAAUUAUAUGGUAGUAAUUAUUAUUAAAAAUUUAAGAAAUUAAGAUUUAGUAAUAUUUAAUUAUUAUUAACAAAUUUUGUGCCAGCAGUUGCGGUUAAACAAAAAAUAAUUUAAAUUUUAUCAGUAUUUAAUAAAUAUUAAAUAAAAAAUAAAUAUAAUAAAUUAUUAGGUGAAAUUUUAAUUAAUGAAAAAUUUUUUUAAUAUAUGAAUUAAUAGAUUUUAUAAAAAACUAGGAUUAGAUACCCUAUUAUUAAAAAUUAAUUUAAAAAUACUAAAAUAGUAUAUAAUUAUUUAUAAAAACUUAAAUAAUUUGGCGGUAUUUUAGUUCAUUUAGAGGAAUCUGUCUAAUAAUUGAUAAUCCACGAAUAAAUUUACUUAAUUAAUAAAUUUUGUAUAUCGUUGUUAAAAAAAUAUUUUUUAAUAAAAAUAAUAUUUUAAAAUUUAUUCAAAAAAUUAAUUCAGAUCAAGAUGCAGAUUAUAAUUAAGAAUAUGAUGGAUUACAAUAAGAAAAAAUUAAAUGAAUAAUAUUUUGUAAAAAAUAUUUGAAGGUGGAUUUAAAUGUAAUUUUAUUUAAUUUAAUAAAAUGAAUAAAAAUUGAAAUAUGUACAUAUUGCCCGUCGCUUUCAUUAAUAAAUUGAAAUAAGUCGUAACAAAGUAGGAGUACUGGAAAGUGUUCCUAGAAAGAA
Molecule: non-coding RNA, 779 nt
Filed under: Byasa alcinous
Lineage: Eukaryota; Metazoa; Arthropoda; Insecta; Lepidoptera; Papilionidae
Source: RNAcentral